GAUAGCAGGGGAUCGUAAGGCCUUGCGUUUUUGGAGCGGCCGAUGUCUGAUUAGCUAGUUGGUGGGGUAAGGGCCUACCAAGGCGACGAUCAGUAGUUGGUCUGAGAGGACGACCAGCCACACUGGGACUGAGACACGGCCCAGACUCCUACGGGAGGCAGCAGUGGGGAAUUUUGGACAAUGGGCGCAAGCCUGAUCCAGCAAUGCCGCGUGAGUGAAGAAGGCCUUCGGGUUGUAAAGCUCUUUCAGUCGAGAAGAAAAGGCUACGGUAAAUAAUCGUAGUUCAUGACGGUACCGACAGAAGAAGCACCGGCUAACUACGUGCCAGCAGCCGCGGUAAUACGUAGGGUGCGAGCGUUAAUCGGAAUUACUGGGCGUAAAGGGUGCGCAGGCGGCUUUGUAAGUCAGAUGUGAAAUCCCCGGGCUUAACCUGGGAAUUGCGUUUGAAACUACAAGGCUAGA
This 462-nucleotide ribosomal RNA is filed under the name uncultured beta proteobacterium. RNAcentral describes it as "bacterial SSU rRNA". It matches the Rfam family "Bacterial small subunit ribosomal RNA", at positions 187 to 645 of the family's 1533-position model. Lineage: Bacteria; Pseudomonadati; Pseudomonadota; Betaproteobacteria. The record is from RNAcentral.